AUGGACCCGUCCUCCGGUGCCUACUGAGCUGAUAUCAGUUCUGAUUUUACACACUGGCUCAGUUCAGCAGGAACAGGAGUCGAGCCCUA
This 89-nucleotide microRNA precursor is filed under the name Buteo japonicus. Its description in RNAcentral is "miRNA (ENSBJAG00000002219.1)". The stretch from base 10 to 79 matches the Rfam family "mir-24 microRNA precursor family". Rfam says of the family: This family represents the microRNA (miRNA) mir-24 family. miRNAs are transcribed as ~70nt precursors (modelled here) and subsequently processed by the Dicer enzyme to give a ~22nt product. The record is from RNAcentral. Lineage: Eukaryota; Metazoa; Chordata; Aves; Accipitriformes; Accipitridae.